AUUGANCGCUGGCGGAAUGCUUUACACAUGCAAGUCGAACGGCAGCACGGGUGCUUGCACCUGGUGGCGAGUGGCGAACGGGUGAGUAAUAUAUCGGAACGUAUCCAAUAAUGGGGGAUAACUAGUCGAAAGAUUGGCUAAUACCGCAUACGCCCUGAGGGGGAAAGCUGGGGAUCUUCGGACCUAGCGUUAAUGGAGCGGCCGAUAUCAGAUUAGCUAGUUGGUGGGGUAAAGGCCUACCAAGGCGACGAUCUGUAGCUAGUCUGAGAGGACGACCAGCCACACUGGAACUGAGACACGGUCCAGACUCCUACGGGAGGCAGCAGUGGGGAAUUUUGGACAAUGGGGGAAACCCUGAUCCAGCCAUUCCGCGUGAGUGAAGAAGGCCUUCGGGUUGUAAAGCUCUUUCGCAAGGGAAGAAACGAUACGGGCUAAUAUCCCGUUGUUAAUGACGGUACCUUGAUAAGAAGCACCGGCUAACUACGUGCCAGCAGCCGCGGUAAUACGUAGGGUGCGAGCGUUAAUCGGAAUUACUGGGCGUAAAGCGUGCGCAGGCUGUUUUGUAAGUCAGAUGUGAAAUCCCCGGGCUCAACCUGGGAACUGCGUUUGAAACUGCAAGACUAGAAUAUGUCAGAGGGGGGUAGAAUUCCACGUGUAGCAGUGAAAUGCGUAGAGAUGUGGAGGAAUACCAAUGGCGAGGGCAGCCCCCUGG
This 712-nucleotide ribosomal RNA is filed under the name uncultured bacterium. RNAcentral describes it as "bacterial SSU rRNA". It matches the Rfam family "Bacterial small subunit ribosomal RNA", at positions 28 to 732 of the family's 1533-position model. The record is from RNAcentral.